Molecule: ribosomal RNA, 490 nt
Filed under: uncultured bacterium
Lineage: Bacteria
Description: partial 16S ribosomal RNA
Rfam family: Bacterial small subunit ribosomal RNA
Source: RNAcentral
AUUGAACGCUGGCGGCAGGCCUAACACAUGCAAGUCGAACGGUAACAGGAAGCAGCUUGCUGCUUCGCUGACGAGUGGCGGACGGGUGAGUAAUGUCUGGGAAGCUGCCUGAUGGAGGGGAAUAACUACUGGAAACGGUAGCUAAUACCGCAUAAUGUCGCAAGACCAAAGAGGGGGACCUUCGGGCCUCUUGCCAUCGGAUGUGCCCAGAUGGGAUUAGCUUGUUGGUGGGGUAACGGCUCACCAAGGCGACGAUCCCUAGCUGGUCUGAGAGGAUGACCAGCCACACUGGGACUGAGACACGGUCCAGACUCCUACGGGAGGCAGCAGUGGGGAAUAUUGCACAAUGGGCGCAAGCCUGAUGCAGCCAUGCCGCGUGUAUGAAGAAGGCCUUCGGGUUGUAAAGUACUUUCAGCGGGGAGGAAGGGAGUAAAGUUAAUACCUUUGCUCAUUGACGUUACCCGCAGAAGAAGCACCGGCUAACUCCGUG